GAUGAACGCUGGCGGCGUGCCUAAUACAUGCAAGUCGAGCGAAAAGAUGAGGAGCUUUCCUCUCUCACUUUCGCGGCGGACGCGUGAGUAACACGUGUAUAACCUACCUAUAAGACUGGGAUAACUUCGGGAAACCGGUGCUUAUACCGGCUAAUUUUUUCAACACCAUGGUUCAGUAGUUACAGACCUUUUUGCUGUCACUGAUCGAUGGUGCCGCGCCGGAUUAGCUAGUUGGUCGGGUAACGGCUGACCAAGGCGACGAUGCGUAGCCGACCUGAGAGGAUGAUCGGCCACACUGGAACUGAGACACGGUCCAGACUCCUACGGGAGGCAGCAGUGGGGAAUAUUGCACAAUGGGCGCAAGCCUGAUGGAGCAACGCCGCGUGAAUGAUGAAGGCCUUCGGAUCGUAAAGCUCUUUUAGUGGGGAGGAACAAAGGUAUAUGAAACCAUGUGCGCAUUGACGUUACCUGAUCAAGAAGCCACGGCUAACUCCGUG
Molecule: ribosomal RNA, 497 nt
Filed under: uncultured bacterium
Lineage: Bacteria
Description: partial 16S ribosomal RNA
Rfam family: Bacterial small subunit ribosomal RNA
Source: RNAcentral